This 195-nucleotide ribosomal RNA is filed under the name uncultured bacterium. Its description in RNAcentral is "partial 16S ribosomal RNA". It matches the Rfam family "Bacterial small subunit ribosomal RNA", at positions 333 to 528 of the family's 1533-position model. The record is from RNAcentral.
AAAAUACGGGAGGCAGCAGUGAGGAAUAUUGGUCAAUGGGCGUAAGCCUGAACCAGCCAAGUAGCGUGCAGGACGACGGCCCUAUGGGUUGUAAACUGCUUUUAUGCAAGAAUAAAUUAGUUCACGUGUGGAUUAUUGCAGGUAUUGCAUGAAUAAGGACCGGCUAAUUCCGUGCCAGCAGCCGCGGUAAUUUUU